RNAcentral lists this ribosomal RNA (520 nucleotides) under uncultured microorganism. RNAcentral describes it as "bacterial SSU rRNA". It matches the Rfam family "Bacterial small subunit ribosomal RNA", at positions 9 to 511 of the family's 1533-position model. The record is from RNAcentral.
GAGUUUGAUCGUGGCUCAGGAUGAACGCUGGCGGCGUGCCUAAUACAUGCAAGUCGAGCGAACAGACGAGGAGCUUGCUCCUCUGACGUUAGCGGCGGACGGGUGAGUAACACGUGGAUAACCUACCUAUAAGACUGGGAUAACUUCGGGAAACCGGAGCUAAUACCGGAUAAUAUAUUGAACCGCAUGGUUCAAUAGUGAAAGACGGUUUUGCUGUCACUUAUAGAUGGAUCCGCGCCGCAUUAGCUAGUUGGUAAGGUAACGGCUUACCAAGGCAACGAUGCGUAGCCGACCUGAGAGGGUGAUCGGCCACACUGGAACUGAGACACGGUCCAGACUCCUACGGGAGGCAGCAGUAGGGAAUCUUCCGCAAUGGGCGAAAGCCUGACGGAGCAACGCCGCGUGAGUGAUGAAGGUCUUCGGAUCGUAAAACUCUGUUAUUAGGGAAGAACAAAUGUGUAAGUAACUAUGCACGUCUUGACGGUACCUAAUCAGAAAGCCACGGCUAACUACGUGCCAG